RNAcentral lists this ribosomal RNA (254 nucleotides) under uncultured bacterium. Its description in RNAcentral is "partial 16S ribosomal RNA". It matches the Rfam family "Bacterial small subunit ribosomal RNA", at positions 524 to 776 of the family's 1533-position model. The record is from RNAcentral.
UACGUAGGGUGCAAGCGUUAAUCGGAAUUACUGGGCGUAAAGCGUGCGCAGGCGGUUAUGUAAGACAGGUGUGAAAUCCCCGGGCUUAACCUGGGAACUGCAUUUGUGACUGCAUAGCUAGAGUACGGUAGAGGGGGAUGGAAUUCCGCGUGUAGCAGUGAAAUGCGUAGAUAUGCGGAGGAACACCGAUGGCGAAGGCAAUCCCCCUGGACCUGUACUGACGCUCAUGCACGAAAGCGUGGGGAGCAAACAGG